Molecule: ribosomal RNA, 450 nt
Filed under: uncultured bacterium
Lineage: Bacteria
Description: partial 16S ribosomal RNA
Rfam family: Bacterial small subunit ribosomal RNA
Source: RNAcentral
GUGGGGAAUCUUCCGCAAUGGACGAAAGUCUGACGGAGCAACGCCGCGUGAGUGAUGAAGGUCUUCGGAUUGUAAAGCUCUGUUAAUCGGGACGAAAGAGCCUAGUGUGAAUAAUGCUAGGAAGUGACGGUACCGGAAUAGAAAGCCACGGCUAACUACGUGCCAGCAGCCGCGGUAAUACGUAGGUGGCAAGCGUUGUCCUGAAUGAUUGGGCGUAAAGCGCGCGCAGGCGGAUCUGCCAGUCUGUCUUAAAAGUUCGGGGCUUAACCCCGUGAUGGGAUGGAAACUACAGAUCUAGAGUAUCGGAGAGGAAAGUGGAAUUCCUAGUGUAGCGGUGAAAUGCGUAGAUAUUAGGAAGAACACCAGUGGCGAAGGCGACUUUCUGGACGAAAACUGACGCUGAGGCGCGAAAGCCAGGGGAGCGAACGGGAUUAGAAACCCCUGUAGUCC